Molecule: ribosomal RNA, 532 nt
Filed under: uncultured Streptomyces sp.
Lineage: Bacteria; Bacillati; Actinomycetota; Actinomycetes; Kitasatosporales; Streptomycetaceae
Description: bacterial SSU rRNA
Rfam family: Bacterial small subunit ribosomal RNA
Source: RNAcentral
AGAGUUUGAUUAUGGCUCAGGACGAACGCUGGCGGCGUGCUUAACACAUGCAAGUCGAACGAUGAACCACUUCGGUGGGGAUUAGUGGCGAACGGGUGAGUAACACGUGGGCAAUCUGCCCUUCACUCUGGGACAAGCCCUGGAAACGGGGUCUAAUACCGGAUACGACCUGCCGAGGCAUCUCGGCGGGUGGAAAGCUCCGGCGGUGAAGGAUAGGCCCGCGGCCUAUCAGCUAGUUGGUGAGGUAACGGCUCACCAAGGCGACGACGGGUAGCCGGCCUGAGAGGGCGACCGGCCACACUGGGACUGAGACACGGCCCAGACUCCUACGGGAGGCAGCAGUGGGGAAUAUUGCACAAUGGGCGAAAGCCUGAUGCAGCGACGCCGCGUGAGGGAUGAAGGCCUUCGGGUUGUAAACCUCUUUCAGCAGGGAAGAAGCGAAAGUGACGGUACCUGCAGAAGAAGCGCCGGCUAACUACGUGCCACAGCCGCGGUAAUACGUAGGGSCAAGCGUUGUCCGGAAUUUAUGGGC